UACGUAGGGCGCAAGCGUUAUCCGGAAUUAUUGGGCGUAAAGAGCUCGUAGGCGGCUUGUCGCGUCGAAUGUGAAAUCUCAGGGCUCAACUCUGACAUUGCAUUCGAUACGGGCAGGCUAGAGUUCGGUAGGGGAGACUGGAAUUCCUGGUGUAGCGGUGAAAUGCGCAGAUAUCAGGAGGAACACCAAUAGCGAAGGCAGCUCGCUGGGACGUUACUGACACUGAGGCGCGACAGCGUGGGGAGCAAACAGG
Molecule: ribosomal RNA, 253 nt
Filed under: uncultured bacterium
Lineage: Bacteria
Description: partial 16S ribosomal RNA
Rfam family: Bacterial small subunit ribosomal RNA
Source: RNAcentral